GACGAACGCUGGCGGCGUGCUUAACACACGCAAGUCGAACGAUGAAGCCGGAGCUUGCUCCGGUGGAUUAGUGGCGAACGGGUGAGUAACACGUAAGCAAUCUGCCCUUGACUCUGGGAUAACUGCGGGAAACUGUAGCUAAUACCGGGUACGACACCUUGGGGCAUCCCAGGGUGUGGAAAGAAUUUCGGUCAAGGAUGAGCUCGCGGCCUAUCAGCUAGUUGGUGAGGUAAUGGCUCACCAAGGCGACGACGGGUAGCCGGCCUGAGAGGGUGACCGGCCACACUGGAACUGAGACACGGUCCAGACUCCUACGGGAGGCAGCAGUGGGGAAUAUUGCACAAUGGGCGAAAGCCUGAUGCAGCAACGCCGCGUGAGGGAUGAAGGCCUUCGGGUUGUAAACCUCUUUUAGCAGGGAAGAAGCGAAAGUGACGGUACCUGCAGAAAAAGCACCGGCUAACUACGUGCCAGCCGCCGCAGUAA
Molecule: ribosomal RNA, 483 nt
Filed under: uncultured bacterium
Lineage: Bacteria
Description: partial 16S ribosomal RNA
Rfam family: Bacterial small subunit ribosomal RNA
Source: RNAcentral